Capsicum annuum is the source of this 76-nucleotide non-coding RNA. Lineage: Eukaryota; Viridiplantae; Streptophyta; Magnoliopsida; Solanales; Solanaceae. The record is from Rfam.
UUUUACAGUUACACAGACCUGUAAUGAUUUGCGAAGAUGAUCGCAACAAAUUGAACAUCUAAGGGACUGAGUUGUU